This 497-nucleotide ribosomal RNA is filed under the name uncultured bacterium. Its description in RNAcentral is "partial 16S ribosomal RNA". It matches the Rfam family "Bacterial small subunit ribosomal RNA", at positions 28 to 507 of the family's 1533-position model. The record is from RNAcentral.
GAUGAACGCUGGCGGCGUGCCUAAUACAUGCAAGUCGAGCGAACAGACGAGGAGCUUGCUCCUCUGACGUUAGCGGCGGACGGGUGAGUAACACGUGGAUAACCUACCUAUAAGACUGGGAUAACUUCGGGAAACCGGAGCUAGUACCGGAUAAUAUAUUGAACCGCAUGGUUCAAUAGUGAAAGACGGUUUUGCUGUCACUUAUAGAUGGAUCCGCGCCGCAUUAGCUAGUUGGUAAGGUAACGGCUUACCAAGGCAACGAUGCGUAGCCGACCUGAGAGGGUGAUCGGCCACACUGGAACUGAGACACGGUCCAGACUCCUACGGGAGGCAGCAGUAGGGAAUCUUCCGCAAUGGGCGAAAGCCUGACGGAGCAACGCCGCGUGAGUGAUGAAGGUCUUCGGAUCGUAAAACUCUGUUAUUAGGGAAGAGCAAAUGUGUAAGUAACUAUGCACGUCUUGACGGUACCUAAUCAGAAAGCCACGGCUAACUACGUG